This 75-nucleotide transfer RNA is filed under the name Lachnospiraceae bacterium. Its description in RNAcentral is "tRNA-Thr". It matches the Rfam family "tRNA". Rfam says of the family: Transfer RNA (tRNA) molecules are approximately 80 nucleotides in length. Lineage: Bacteria; Bacillati; Bacillota; Clostridia; Lachnospirales; Lachnospiraceae. The record is from RNAcentral.
GCUCCCGUAGUUCUAAUGGUAAAACUGCGGCCUUGUAAUCCGCUGUUGUCUGUUCGAUUCAGACCGGGAGCUCCA